UACGGAGGGGGCCAGCGUUGUUCGGAAUUAUUGGGCGUAAAGGGCGCGUAGGCGGCCGAAUAAGUCUGAUGUGAAAGCCCACGGCUCAACCGUGGAGGGUCAUUGGAAACUGGGAGACUUGAGUGCAGAAGAGAAGAGUGGAAUUCCACGUGUAGCGGUGAAAUGCGUAGAGAUGUGGAGGAACACCAGUGGCGAAGGCGACUCUUUGGUCUGUAACUGACGCUGAGGCGCGAAAGCGUGGGGAGCAAACAGG
This 253-nucleotide ribosomal RNA is filed under the name uncultured bacterium. Its description in RNAcentral is "partial 16S ribosomal RNA". It matches the Rfam family "Bacterial small subunit ribosomal RNA", at positions 524 to 776 of the family's 1533-position model. The record is from RNAcentral.